RNAcentral lists this long non-coding RNA (976 nucleotides) under Nicotiana benthamiana. Its description in RNAcentral is "long non-coding RNA (NBEN_LNC022134)". Lineage: Eukaryota; Viridiplantae; Streptophyta; Magnoliopsida; Solanales; Solanaceae. The record is from RNAcentral.
UAUGAUAUUGAGGCCCGGAGGAUCAGAGGCAAGAAAGCUAAGGUGAACUUUCCCGAUGAAGCUCCAGUGUCUUCUUCAAGACGUGUUGUGAAGCUAAAUCCCCAGGAGGCACUUCACAAAGAGAGCUCGAACAUAGUUCAGGCCAACACCACUUUUACUAACAACUUGGGCUGUGGUUCUGAUGAUUCAUUGAGCUUUGUCGAAGAGAAACCAACAGCAAUGCAGUAUGGUUAUGAGGACGUGUCUUUUACUGCUGGAGAUAUGGGACUUAGCUCAUUUUCGCCUUCAGCUGGUACAAAUGUUUACUUCAAUUCUGAUGAAGGAAGUAACACUUUUGACUGCUCUGAUUUUGGUUGGGGCGAACCUUGUUCAAGGUCUCCAGAAAUAUCAUCUGUUCUGUCGGCUGUUUUAGAAUGUAAUGAGACUCAAUUCGAUGAAGAUGCCCGUCCUGAGAAAAAACUCAAGUCCUGCUCAGACAAUUCACUGCCAGAUGAUGGCAACACUGUGAACAAGCUAUCUGAAGAGCUAUCGGCUUUUGAAUCCCAGAUGAAGUUCUUGCAGAUCCCAUAUCUUGAGGGAAAUUGGGAUGCAUCAGUUGAUGCCUUGCUCAAUGCAGAUGCAACACAGGAUGGUGGAAAUGCUAUGGACCUUUGGUUCUUUGAUGAUGUUCCCUCUUUAAUGGGAGGUGUCUACUAAGCCAGCCUGCCCUCCCUUUGCUAAGUUUUGUAAAUAAAGCUUCAUUUGAGUGAAGUUUACAGUUAUGUUGUCUCCAAGCAAGACUAAGUAUGUGUUGUAUGCAUUAUUUUGAAAGUUUACUCAGUUUGAUAUCUCUGUCCUUGUUCUCUGGCAUAGUUAAGCAUAUGCUUUAACCCUCUGAUGCUGUUCUCAAUGUGUUGGCAAUUGAGCAAGCAGUCUUAUGUAAUUAGGUAAACUAACCUCUCAAAAUUUCAAAUAAAAGAUAUUAAAUUUAGUAUUU